This 253-nucleotide ribosomal RNA is filed under the name uncultured bacterium. RNAcentral's name for it is "partial 16S ribosomal RNA". It matches the Rfam family "Bacterial small subunit ribosomal RNA", at positions 524 to 776 of the family's 1533-position model. The record is from RNAcentral.
UACGAAGGGAGCAAGCGUUGUCCGGAAUCAUUGGGCGUAAAGCGCGCGUAGGUGGCCUCAUAAGUCCGCUGUGAAAGUCCAAGGCUCAACCUUGGAAAGCCGGUGGAUACUGUGAGGCUAGAGUACGGAAGAGGCGAGUGGAAUUCCUGGUGUAGCGGUGGAAUGCGCAGAUAUCAGGAGGAACACCAAUAGCGAAGGCAGCUCGCUGGGACGGUACUGACGCUGAGACGCGAAAGCGUGGGGAGCGAACAGG